CCUGGAUCCACCCCUCCUUUUCCCCAUCUAAGGGUUAGCAGCUGAAGGAGUCAUUUCUUUUUGGAUUGAGAUUGUAUUCCUCUUGGGCUGUUACCAGUCAUCAGAAGAGAUAUCUGCCAUCCUUCACUGAGAACUUCAGCAACCCUCAUCUCUACACCUGUCAGAAGCAAGCCAGGUACCCAGCCUGGAUGAGAGCAUAACACGAGUUAAUUAUUGCUUUAAUUUAAGUGAAGUCCUAUGCUGAGAGCUGUUGUCAGUGGGAUUCCCUGGAUUUGGUAAGGUUGCUUUGAAAGUAGUGCCUCCUAUUUAUUUUCA
This is a long non-coding RNA of Tympanuchus pallidicinctus (lesser prairie-chicken), 315 nucleotides long. RefSeq lists it as uncharacterized. NCBI's taxonomy places the organism in Eukaryota, Metazoa, Chordata, Aves, Galliformes, Phasianidae. The transcript is spliced from 3 exons. The record is from RefSeq and is a predicted model, not a curated record.